AGUGAACGCUGGCGGUAGGCCUAACACAUGCAAGUCGAACGGCAGCACAGUAAGAGCUUGCUCUUACGGGUGGCGAGUGGCGGACGGGUGAGGAAUACAUCGGAAUCUACUUUUUCGUGGGGGAUAACGUAGGGAAACUUACGCUAAUACCGCAUACGACCUACGGGUGAAAGCAGGGGAUCUUCGGACCUUGCGCGAUUGAAUGAGCCGAUGUCGGAUUAGCUAGUUGGCGGGGUAAAGGCCCACCAAGGCGACGAUCCGUAGCUGGUCUGAGAGGAUGAUCAGCCAGACUGGAACUGAGACACGGUCCAGACUUCUACGGGAGGCAGCAGUGGGGAAUAUUGGACAAUGGGCGCAAGCCUGAUCCAGCCAUACCGCGUGGGUGAAGAAGGCCUUCGGGUUGUAAAGCCCUUUUGUUGGGAGAGAAAAGCAGCAGGUUAAUACCCCGCUGUUCUGACGGUACCCAAAGAAUAAGCACCGGCUAACUUCGUG
Molecule: ribosomal RNA, 492 nt
Filed under: uncultured bacterium
Lineage: Bacteria
Description: partial 16S ribosomal RNA
Rfam family: Bacterial small subunit ribosomal RNA
Source: RNAcentral